GGAGUGGAGAACACAAUUUAAUGCAUAACAGCUCUUUUCAUCUCUCAGCAAACUAGGUCUCAGGUCUGAAGUCCACUGCAGUCAGCCUUCCCUGGUGGUGAGCUGCUGUCAGAACCUCCCCACUACUCCUCUGGGUGGCCCCAGUCUUGUGCCUAUUUCCCUCUCGUGGUCAUCAAGUCUCGCCCAGAUGGAGUCUCAGUUUUAUAAGGGGGAGUUUCCCUGCACAAGCUCUCUCUCUUUGUCUGCUGCCAUUCAUGUAAAAUGUGACUUGCUCCUCCUUGCCUUCCGUCAUGAUUGUGAUGCCUCCCAGCCAUGUGGAAAUAGAAUUCCAAAAUUGUACGAGCUUCAGGCCCCACAAAACCUGGAUCCACCCUCAGAUUUCAUUUAUCUCACUUCAUGGUGACAAAUGAACCUGCUGUUCUUGUCACUCCCCGGGUCCGACUGUACUCCCAAAUCUGUCAAGCGAAAAGUUUCAGAAAUGUUCCUUAUGACUCCUUGGAUAUUCUUAACUAAUAGGGCCUCUGUGAGAUCUGUACUACUAAGAAGUUUCACAAGUAAUUCUAAUAUUCAGCCUGGGUUGAAAACCGCCAUCCACCAUCCACGGAUGCUGUGCUUGGGGCCCGUGCUUCUCAGAUGGUGGGUCAUCACUCAUUCUGAGUUGUGAAAUCAUCUUAACAGGUCCCAAUUAGCAUUGUUUUAGUAGAAUGGAAUAUGUUACCUUGCAUCAUAAGGUUGGUGUGUUCGUCCCACUUUUGUUUCAAUAUCUACAAUAUAUAUAACUUAUAUAUUGCCUUGGGUAGCGCAAUUCUGAAUCCUGUGGU
This 821-nucleotide non-coding RNA is filed under the name Pan troglodytes (chimpanzee). Lineage: Eukaryota; Metazoa; Chordata; Mammalia; Primates; Hominidae. The record is from RNAcentral.